This 1372-nucleotide ribosomal RNA is filed under the name uncultured bacterium. Its description in RNAcentral is "bacterial SSU rRNA". It matches the Rfam family "Bacterial small subunit ribosomal RNA", at positions 28 to 1381 of the family's 1533-position model. The record is from RNAcentral.
GAUGAACGCUGGCGGCGUGCCUAAUACAUGCAAGUCGAGCGAACGGACGAGAAGCUUGCUUCUCUGAUGUUAGCGGCGGACGGGUGAGUAACACGUGGAUAACCUACCUAUAAGACUGGGAUAACUUCGGGAAACCGGAGCUAAUACCGGAUAAUAUUUUGAACCGCAUGGUUCAAAAGUAAAAGACGGUCUUGCUGUCACUUAUAGAUGGAUCCGCGCUGCAUUAGCUAGUUGGUAAGGUAACGGCUUACCAAGGCAACGAUGCAUAGCCGACCUGAGAGGGUGAUCGGCCACACUGGAACUGAGACACGGUCCAGACUCCUACGGGAGGCAGCAGUAGGGAAUCUUCCGCAAUGGGCGAAAGCCUGACGGAGCAACGCCGCGUGAGUGAUGAAGGUCUUCGGAUCGUAAAACUCUGUUAUUAGGGAAGAAUAUAUGUGUAAGUAACUGUGCACAUCUUGACGGUACCUAAUCAGAAAGCCACGGCUAACUACGUGCCAGCAGCCGCGGUAAUACGUAGGUGGCAAGCGUUAUCCGGAAUUAUUGGGCGUAAAGCGCGCGUAGGCGGUUUUUUAAGUCUGAUGUGAAAGCCCACGGCUCAACCGUGGAGGGUCAUUGGAAACUGGAAAACUUGAGUGCAGAAGAGGAAAGUGGAAUUCCAUGUGUAGCGGUGAAAUGCGCAGAGAUAUGGAGGAACACCAGUGGCGAAGGCGACUUUCUGGUCUGUAACUGACGCUGAUGUGCGAAAGCGUGGGGAUCAAACAGGAUUAGAUACCCUGGUAGUCCACGCCGUAAACGAUGAGUGCUAAGUGUUAGGGGGUUUCCGCCCCUUAGUGCUGCAGCUAACGCAUUAAGCACUCCGCCUGGGGAGUACGACCGCAAGGUUGAAACUCAAAGGAAUUGACGGGGACCCGCACAAGCGGUGGAGCAUGUGGUUUAAUUCGAAGCAACGCGAAGAACCUUACCAAAUCUUGACAUCCUUUGACAACUCUAGAGAUAGAGCCUUCCCCUUCGGGGGACAAAGUGACAGGUGGUGCAUGGUUGUCGUCAGCUCGUGUCGUGAGAUGUUGGGUUAAGUCCCGCAACGAGCGCAACCCUUAAGCUUAGUUGCCAUCAUUAGGUUGGGCACUCUAAGUUGACUGCCGGUGACAAACCGGAGGAAGGUGGGGAUGACGUCAAAUCAUCAUGCCCCUUAUGAUUUGGGCUACACACGUGCUACAAUGGACAAUACAAAGGGCAGCGAAACCGCGAGGUCAAGCAAAUCCCAUAAAGUUGUUCUCAGUUCGGAUUGUAGUCUGCAACUCGACUACAUGAAGCUGGAAUCGCUAGUAAUCGUAGAUCAGCAUGCUACGGUGAAUACGUUCCCGGGUCU